Schistocerca nitens (vagrant locust) is the source of this 327-nucleotide long non-coding RNA. RefSeq lists it as uncharacterized. The record is from RefSeq and is a predicted model, not a curated record. The transcript is spliced from 3 exons. NCBI's taxonomy places the organism in Eukaryota, Metazoa, Arthropoda, Insecta, Orthoptera, Acrididae.
CUCAGAUGAUGUUGCCCGCAGCUGGCAACGAAACGUCAGGGAGAAGUAUUUCUACUAUUGGACCACGGCCUCUUAGCCCGGAAGUUUUAAUUACUGAUAUCGGCUAACCUAUUCAAUUAAUGGGUUUUUCAACGAGCAGAUAUGCAAUGCACUCUGAUCUAAGCACAUUAAACAUUGAGAGCAGCCAGGUGCUAUGAAAAAUCUGACUUCAAUGGUUUUCCUACCUCAUGUCUAAUAGGAGGGCUUUGGGAAUUCCUGCCAAUGACCAAUGUUCUGGUUGCAAAUGGUCCUUCAACCUGAUACAGUGGUUACAGCAAGCAUCAUAGG